Molecule: ribosomal RNA, 564 nt
Filed under: Nocardioides sp.
Lineage: Bacteria; Bacillati; Actinomycetota; Actinomycetes; Propionibacteriales; Nocardioidaceae
Description: bacterial SSU rRNA
Rfam family: Bacterial small subunit ribosomal RNA
Source: RNAcentral
CCAGUCACUGCAUGGUGUGCUGGUGGAAAGUUUUUUCGGCCAGGGAUGUGCUCGCGGCCUAUCAGCUUGUUGGUGGGGUAAUGGCCUACCAAGGCUUCGACGGGUAGCCGGCCUGAGAGGGUGACCGGCCACACUGGGACUGAGACACGGCCCAGACUCCUACGGGAGGCAGCAGUGGGGAAUAUUGGACAAUGGGCGGAAGCCUGAUCCAGCAACGCCGCGUGAGGGAUGACGGCCUUCGGGUUGUAAACCUCUUUCAGUACCGACGAAGCGCCGAUGAUGGUGGUGACGGUAGGUACAGAAGAAGCACCGGCCAACUACGUGCCAGCAGCCGCGGUAAUACGUAGGGUGCGAGCGUUGUCCGGAAUUAUUGGGCGUAAAGGGCUCGUAGGCGGUUUGUCGCGUCGGGAGUGAAAACACCGGGCUUAACUCGGUGCUUGCUUUCGAUACGGGCAGACUAGAGGCAUGCAGGGGAGAACGGAAUUCCUGGUGUAGCGGUGAAAUGCGCAGAUAUCAGGAGGAACACCGGUGGCGAAGGCGGUUCUCUGGGCAUGUCCUGACGCU